GAUUAAGUUAUUAAGGGCGCACGGUGGAUGCCUUGGCACUAGAAGCCGAUGAAGGACGUUACUAACGACGAUAUGCUUUGGGGAGCUGUAAGUAAGCUUUGAUCCAGAGAUUUCCGAAUGGGGAAACCCAGCAUGAGUUAUGUCAUGUUAUCGAUAUGUGAAUACAUAGCAUAUCAGAAGGCACACCCGGAGAACUGAAACAUCUUAGUACCCGGAGGAAGAGAAAGAAAAUUCGAUUCCCUUAGUAGCGGCGAGCGAAACGGGAAGAGCCCAAACCAACAAGCUUGCUUGUUGGGGUUGUAGGACACUCUAUACGGAGUUACAAAGAACGACAUUAGACGAAUCAUCUGGAAAGAUGAAUCAAAGAAGGUAAUAAUCCUGUAGUCGAAAAUGUUGUCUCUCUUGAGUGGAUCCUGAGUACGACGGAGCACGUGAAAUUCCGUCGGAAUCUGGGAGGACCAUCUCCUAAGGCUAAAUACUCUCUAGUGACCGAUAGUGAACCAGUACCGUGAGGGAAAGGUGAAAAGCACCCCGGAAGGGGAGUGAAAUAGAACCUGAAACCGUGUGCUUACAAGUAGUCAGAGCCCGUUAAUGGGUGAUGGCGUGCCUUUUGUAGAAUGAACCGGCGAGUUACGAUUUGAUGCAAGGUUAAGCAGUAAAUGUGGAGCCGUAGCGAAAGCGAGUCUGAAUAGGGCGUUUAGUAUUUGGUCGUAGACCCGAAACCAGGUGAUCUACCCUUGGUCAGGUUGAAGUUCAGGUAACACUGAAUGGAGGACCGAACCGACUUACGUUGAAAAGUGAGCGGAUGAACUGAGGGUAGCGGAGAAAUUCCAAUCGAACCUGGAGAUAGCUGGUUCUCUCCGAAAUAGCUUUAGGGCUAGCCUCAAGUGAUGAUUAUUGGAGGUAGAGCACUGUUUGGACGAGGGGCCCCUCUCGGGUUACCGAAUUCAGACAAACUCCGAAUGCCAAUUAAUUUAACUUGGGAGUCAGAACAUGGGUGAUAAGGUCCGUGUUCGAAAGGGAAACAGCCCAGACCACCAGCUAAGGUCCCAAAAUAUAUGUUAAGUGGAAAAGGAUGUGGCGUUGCCCAGACAACUAGGAUGUUGGCUUAGAAGCAGCCAUCAUUUAAAGAGUGCGUAAUAGCUCACUAGUCGAGUGACACUGCGCCGAAAAUGUACCGGGGCUAAACAUAUUACCGAAGCUGUGGAUUGUCCUUUGGACAAUGGUAGGAGAGCGUUCUAAGGGCGUUGAAGCAUGAUCGUAAGGACAUGUGGAGCGCUUAGAAGUGAGAAUGCCGGUGUGAGUAGCGAAAGACGGGUGAGAAUCCCGUCCACCGAUUGACUAAGGUUUCCAGAGGAAGGCUCGUCCGCUCUGGGUUAGUCGGGUCCUAAGCUGAGGCCGACAGGCGUAGGCGAUGGAUAACAGGUUGAUAUUCCUGUACCACCUAUAAUCGUUUUAAUCGAUGGGGGGAC
Molecule: ribosomal RNA, 1472 nt
Filed under: Staphylococcus aureus
Lineage: Bacteria; Bacillati; Bacillota; Bacilli; Caryophanales; Staphylococcaceae
Description: partial 23S ribosomal RNA
Rfam family: Bacterial large subunit ribosomal RNA
Source: RNAcentral